Molecule: ribosomal RNA, 429 nt
Filed under: Pseudomonadota bacterium
Lineage: Bacteria; Pseudomonadati; Pseudomonadota
Description: Proteobacteria bacterium partial 16S ribosomal RNA
Rfam family: Bacterial small subunit ribosomal RNA
Source: RNAcentral
UGGGGAAUAUUGGACAAUGGGGGGAACCCUGAUCCAGCCAUGCCGCGUGUGUGAAGAAGGGCUUCGGAUUGUAAAGCACUUUAAGUUGGGAGGAAGGGCAGUAAGCGAAUACCUUGCUGUUUUGACGUUACCGACAGAAUAAGCACCGGCUAACUCUGUGCCAGCAGCCGCGGUAAUACAGAGGGUGCAAGCGUUAAUCGGAUUUACUGGGCGUAAAGCGUGCGUAGGCGGCUAAUUGAGUCGGAUGUGAAAUCCCCGAGCUUAACUUGGGAAUUGCAUUCCAUACUGGUUAGCUAGAGUGUGGGAGAGGAUGGUAGAAUUCCAGGUGUAGCGGUGAAAUGCGUAGAGAUCUGGAGGAAUACCGAUGGCGAAGGCAGCCAUCUGGCCUAACACUGACGCUGAGGUACGAAAGCAUGGGGAGCAAACAGG